Molecule: transfer RNA, 65 nt
Filed under: Dipodomys ordii (Ord's kangaroo rat)
Lineage: Eukaryota; Metazoa; Chordata; Mammalia; Rodentia; Heteromyidae
Rfam family: tRNA
About the family: Transfer RNA (tRNA) molecules are approximately 80 nucleotides in length. Their secondary structure includes four short double-helical elements and three loops (D, anti-codon, and T loops).
Source: Rfam by way of RNAcentral
GGUGGCUCAGUGGUAGAGUGCUUGCCUGGCAUGCAGGAAGCCCUGGGUUCGAUUCCUCAGUACCA